Molecule: ribosomal RNA, 691 nt
Filed under: Escherichia coli
Lineage: Bacteria; Pseudomonadati; Pseudomonadota; Gammaproteobacteria; Enterobacterales; Enterobacteriaceae
Description: partial 23S ribosomal RNA
Rfam family: Bacterial large subunit ribosomal RNA
Source: RNAcentral
CGGGGUUGCGGACAGUGUCUGGUGGGUAGUUUGACUGGGGCGGUCUCCUCCUAAAGAGUAACGGAGGAGCACGAAGGUUGGCUAAUCCUGGUCGGACAUCAGGAGGUUAGUGCAAUGGCAUAAGCCAGCUUGACUGCGAGCGUGACGGCGCGAGCAGGUGCGAAAGCAGGUCAUAGUGAUCCGGUGGUUCUGAAUGGAAGGGCCAUCGCUCAACGGAUAAAAGGUACUCCGGGGAUAACAGGCUGAUACCGCCCAAGAGUUCAUAUCGACGGCGGUGUUUGGCACCUCGAUGUCGGCUCAUCACAUCCUGGGGCUGAAGUAGGUCCCAAGGGUAUGGCUGUUCGCCAUUUAAAGUGGUACGCGAGCUGGGUUUAGAACGUCGUGAGACAGUUCGGUCCCUAUCUGCCGUGGGCGCUGGAGAACUGAGGGGGGCUGCUCCUAGUACGAGAGGACCGGAGUGGACGCAUCACUGGUGUUCGGGUUGUCAUGCCAAUGGCACUGCCCGGUAGCUAAAUGCGGAAGAGAUAAGUGCUGAAAGCAUCUAAGCACGAAACUUGCCCCGAGAUGAGUUCUCCCUGACUCCUUGAGAGUCCUGAAGGAACGUUGAAGACGACGACGUUGAUAGGCCGGGUGUGUAAGCGCAGCGAUGCGUUGAGCUAACCGGUACUAAUGAACCGUGAGGCUUAACCUU